AUGGCCAUGAAAACACAGCUCCUUCGCUUGCUACCUCUGCUGCUCCUGCUCCUUCCGCCUCCCCUUCGCGAUUACUUGUCGACCGAUGAAGCCGCCGGCGUCAGAGUCCGCCAGGGCCGGCUCCGUGUCUACCACCCGAUAAUCUUGUUCCCUGGCAUAAGUUGUCCCAACCUGGAGGCGCGGCUGACCGACGCUUACACCCCGUCGGCGCCGCGCUGCGGAGCGCUCAAGGGGAAGGGAUGGUUCCCUCUCUGGAACAACACCCGGGACGUGCUCGACCAUGAUUACCUUCCAUGCUUACAGGAGCAGAUGAGCCUCGUGUAUGACCCCGUCCUCAACGACUUCCGGAACCGGCCCGGCGUCGAGACGCGCGUGCCCGACUUCGGCUCCUCCUACGGUUUCACCUCAAAGGACGAAGUGGGCGGCCUUAACAUCUAUUGCAUGUCAAAACUUCGCCAAGAACUGGAGGCACUAGGUUAUCGCGACAGAGAUACUCUUUUCGGCGCUCCUUACGACUUACGGCACGCUCCACCUUCACCCGGCCAGCCAUCUCGGGUGUACACCGACUACUUUGCCCGUGUCAAGAAUCUGGUGCAGCAUGCGAGCGAGAAGAACGGGAACAAGCCUGUCAUCCUCGUUGGGCACAGCUUCGGAGGCAAGGCAGCCCUCGACUUCGUCAAUUCGACUCCCCUUCCAUGGAGGAAAAAAUUCAUCAAACACAUGGUCCUAAUAGCACCCACACCUCCUACGGGCUUUGUACAGGUGCUCACGAACUUCGCCUCUGGGCCGUCAGUCAUUCUUAUACCGACCGUACCUUGGCUGGGUUUGCGUCCAAUGUGGAGAACUUUCGCGAGUUCCCUUAUAUCCUUCCCAUCUACCAGAGUUUUUGGUCAUGAGCCGCUUGUAGUCACCAAACAUAUGAACUACUCAGCAUAUGACUACAGGGAUAUGCUCAUGGAUCUCGGUUUCAGCAUUGACAUCAUAAAAUGGAUACUUCGGAUGAAUCUAAAGGUUGAUGCUCCAAUGGUGCCGACGACAUACCUCAAUGGAGUUGGUUUCCAAACAAUAGAUCAGGCAGUAUACUGGGAUAGUAACUUUGAUGUGGAGCCAGAGUAUGUAUAUGGCGAUGGUGACGAUGUCGUCAACUUAGUUAGCUUGUUGGCAUUUGUGGAAGAAAUGAGGAGGCAGCAGCAGCGGAAUAGCAUACACUUCAAGUUCAUCAAGAUUGCUCAUACUAACCACUCUCAUAUUCUAAUUCAGGAACGUUCACUUAAGAGAGUUAUGGCUGAAAUUCUAGAAGCUAAUUGCAGAGGAGACAUCACGUAA
RNAcentral lists this ribosomal RNA (1326 nucleotides) under Triticum aestivum (bread wheat). RNAcentral's name for it is "partial small subunit ribosomal RNA". The record is from RNAcentral. Lineage: Eukaryota; Viridiplantae; Streptophyta; Magnoliopsida; Poales; Poaceae.